This 76-nucleotide transfer RNA is filed under the name Candidatus Saccharimonadota bacterium. RNAcentral's name for it is "tRNA-Ala". It matches the Rfam family "tRNA". Rfam says of the family: Transfer RNA (tRNA) molecules are approximately 80 nucleotides in length. Their secondary structure includes four short double-helical elements and three loops (D, anti-codon, and T loops). The record is from RNAcentral. Lineage: Bacteria; Candidatus Saccharimonadota.
GGGGUGUUAGCUCAUCUGGUAGAGCGUAGCUAUGGCAUAGCUAAGGUGGCGAGUUCGAGCCUCGCACACUCCACCA